Molecule: long non-coding RNA, 996 nt
Organism: Zootermopsis nevadensis
Lineage: Eukaryota; Metazoa; Arthropoda; Insecta; Blattodea; Termopsidae
Source: RefSeq, a predicted model, not a curated record
GCCAUCAUUUCGAUUAACACGGGCUGGCAUAAGCGAAUUUCGUAUUGGUACGGAAAUUAAUUCACUGAUAUAUUACCCAGUGGCACUUUUAUUUCACAAAUUUAAUACCGUAUUUGUUUCAUGUCUGGUGUUACACAUUAUUUGCCAUUUUAAAACGUCGAUUCGAUGAUAGUGGCAACCACGGAGUAAUGGGUGUGCCUUGGUCGCUGGGACAUUGGGUUCCUAAGAAGAAAUUCCGACCAGGGACAGGUCAAAAGCCCAACCCGUAAAAAAGCUGAAGAAUAAAAAAAGGCUCCUGUAUCUGGACGGCUUCUGUCCCUUCGAGGCAAAUAAACAUUAGAAGGUGGAUUACACAGACUUUUCAUCGGCUGUACAGCCCGCAGUCGGCAGUGCGCUGCUGAUAACAGAUUGUCACGACCUUUAUUAGCCACUUGGUAGGACUCCUUGGAUGUGUAAUCAGCCAGACGCAGGGCCUCCUCCAUCGACACACGAGAGCAGAACACAUAAACACUCUGGCUUGACUGGGAUUCGAACCAAAGAACGCAACGUUAGAACAUUUGGGGACCAAGACCUAGAACAUGCCGUGCUGCCAAUGAUCGUCAGCUGGACCAACUACAAUACCUAUUUGAGAAACUGAAGAAUAAGUGACUAUUAACUUUAAACAGUUCCACUGCACAGACAGUUUCAUUGCACACAAUUAAUAAAGAUGAAGUAUACGAAAGAAGGAUGCGCCGUAGAAUCGUGUUGUUACAAAAGACGUUGAUUUGUGUGAGAGCAAUUGCUUUCCAAAUACCAGCUGUAAUUUAUUUCUGGGUGUUUCCGACGAACGUGUAUGAUACCUGUUUUAAAUUUCUUAGACUUUUUCUGUCACCUUUUUCCAACUCACCGUUCCUGAAACUGGUUCUAAUCACGGUCACAAAACCAAUUUCUAAAAUGUUACGUUUUAAGGAAACCCAAGAUGAUGGAUAAAAUUCAGUAAAUUGAAACUUAUUUUGU